Molecule: microRNA precursor, 56 nt
Organism: Oreochromis aureus
Lineage: Eukaryota; Metazoa; Chordata; Actinopteri; Cichliformes; Cichlidae
Source: Ensembl
UGACUGCCGGAAACCACUGAACCAUUGGUUGGCGAGUAGUUUCUGGCAGUCACUGA